AACACACAUUCAAAACAAU
RNAcentral lists this small RNA (19 nucleotides) under Arabidopsis thaliana (thale cress). RNAcentral describes it as "ATSL183210". Lineage: Eukaryota; Viridiplantae; Streptophyta; Magnoliopsida; Brassicales; Brassicaceae. The record is from RNAcentral.